GAUGAACGCUGGCGGCGUGCCUAAUACAUGCAAGUCGAGCGAACAGACGAGGAGCUUGCUCCUCUGACGUUAGCGGCGGACGGGUGAGUAACACGUGGAUAACCUACCUAUAAGACUGGGAUAACUUCGGGACACCGGAGCUAAUACCGGAUAAUAUAUUGAACCGCAUGGUUCAAUAGUGAAAGACGGUUUUGCUGUCACUUAUAGAUGGAUCCGCGCCGCAUUAGCUAGUUGGUAAGGUAACGGCUUACCACGGCGACGAUGCGUGGCCGACCUGAGAGGGUGAUCGGCCACACUGGAACUGAGACGCGGUCCAGACUACUACGGGAGGCAGCAGAAGGGAAUCGUCCGCAAUGGGCGAAAGCCUGACGGAGCAACGCCGCGUGAGUGAUGAAGGUCUUCGGAUCGUAAUACUCUGUUAUUAGGGAAGAACAAAUGUGUAAGUAACUAUGCACGUCUUGACGGUACCUAAUCAGAAAGCCACGGCUAACUACGUG
Molecule: ribosomal RNA, 497 nt
Filed under: uncultured bacterium
Lineage: Bacteria
Description: partial 16S ribosomal RNA
Rfam family: Bacterial small subunit ribosomal RNA
Source: RNAcentral